This is a long non-coding RNA of Homo sapiens (human), 3823 nucleotides long. RefSeq lists it as uncharacterized. The record is from RefSeq and is a predicted model, not a curated record. The transcript is spliced from 2 exons. NCBI's taxonomy places the organism in Eukaryota, Metazoa, Chordata, Mammalia, Primates, Hominidae.
GGGGAUUCAUGCCCCCGUGAAACUGGGAUGACGUAGAAUUAUGGAAGAGUACCUGUCCCUGAGUGUCCUUGAAAGUCAAGCAAUUAAAACAGAUGCAAUCCCUUUGGAUGGAGAUGCAGCACAGCAUCAUUGCUGUGGAAGUCCAUGGUACAGGGGUGGCUGGCAGUCACAGCAGACUCUGCAAAAUGGGACUCCAUCCUGGUUGGCUUCUAAGGAUCAAGGUAGACCAUUCUUACAAUAAUGACAUAGAAUAAGAGACAUAGAUACUUCCUCGGUUGAAAGAAACACACUGGCAGCUAGUACAGUGGAGAACAUCUUCUCUUGUUCAUCCUAGAGAAAGUGUCCCCGGGGUCAGGGGACAAGGCUGGGCCAGAGCUGCUCUCAGUUGAAUAUAAGUGAGUGGUGUUUGAAUUACUGUAAGCUGGAACUCAAAAGCUCUCUGUGAUUCAUAAAGCAGCUCUUUUCAUAUGGGUUCCAAAUUUCCUUUUCUGUUCAUUCAACAUCCUCUGACAAGCUCUCUGAACUUCAUUCUGGCUUAAAAAUCUAAGAAAGCCAUGAUAGUGAAUACCCAUGUCAUGACUGUUUACCCUCAGUCCUCAGACUCGCCCUUCCCUGCUGAGGUGCCGCCCUGUGGAGAGGGAUUAACCUCGAAUGAGACGGUGGGACAGAGACCGAUGCACUGUUGUGGUCACGGUUCCAUAGGUGUGCUGUGUUUUUUCUCAGCAUACCCAUUUUAGGCUCGUGCGGUAUCAAACUUUUCUGCCAGUAAGUAGAAAAGGCAAUUUUUGUAAAAACUGAGAAACAAGUUGCAGGCGAGAGCAGAUAUUUCAGAAAUGACUCAGAAUCAUGUUUUGCUAGAAGAAUGCUAAUGAAAUACAGAGCGCAUAUUCAUGAAACUGAUAACACUCCCUCGGAAAGAAAAUGACUCUUAUUAGACAUCUGAACUUGAGCAAAACAUUCAUGUCAUCGAUUAUAAUAUAAUGGAUGGCUCCUACUCUGGCAGCAAAAUUUAGCUUUAAUGUAACUACAGAAGCAAAGAUUAUUCUUGGGGGAAUAAUGACAGAGUGUAUCUUUCUGAUCAUCUGAAGCAGUUCAUUCACCUCUGAAACUGACUGUAAACCUCAGGAAAGAAGCUUCUCAGAAAUACAUGACCCACUAAGCUAAGAGCCAACUCCCUAGUGAAUCACCUUCCACACCCGUGACCUCAAGUCCAGGACCCGUGUAAAGCUAGUUUUUACCAUGUCUUCUAUGACUGCUGGGGGAUGGUACACUAUCAUCCUAGAUCCAAUUACAAACAGAAAAAAGCAAAAAACAACUAAACCAGCUACUACUGAGCUUGAGCAUGACUAGCACUGAACUACCUAAUUUCUGACUGUUACAAAUUAAUCAAGUCACAGCACAUUUGCGAUUCAUAUCAGCUACCUAGGGCGUUUCUGUAGACAGCUAACCCAUUUGGGAAGCAGUCAGCUAAUACUAUCUGGAUGUCAGAUGCAUCUCAUGUUUUGGCAGCUCUUUAUAGUCUUUCAAGGGGAUUGUGUUGACAGGCACUUGCCCUUCAACUUGCUGCUCUGUUUGGCAGCGGCUCUGUUUUCAGUCUUGCCUUCACUGCACUUGAGGAUUUUCCACAGCCAUGCAUGGGGAUGUUCUCGUGUAAGAGGGUCAGACGGGCAAAAAUCCGGGAAGAAGGGAUUCCAAGCGACAGGGCACAUGGUACAAUGCCUCCCAUUCAGUAGAUGCACCCCAGAAACAUUGUUAUGUUGCCCUCACCAUGAAAACCACUCUUCACUGAGCACUGGCCGUUUAAUGGGCCUGACGUCAUAUUGCCACGUGAAGCAGCCAGCCCUCUACUUUUGAAAACACCCUUUAAGGAAAUGAUUGCAAAGCUUGACUAUAAAAUAUUUUCAGAUAUUUGAAUGAGAAAACAAAAAGCCAUGGUUCCCCACUGAGAGACACAGAAAGAACUCCUACAGCUCUGCCCCCUCCCCACACAGACCAGCCCUCCUUCCUUGAGGACAGGACUGACUAGGUCUGAACACAGCAGGUGCCCCACGCAUGAGCUGAACUCCACUGAACUACAGCCAGUCACACAGACUGGAGGGUCUUUCUGUGGGAUUCUCCCAUUCCCACUGAAUCCUUCCCAUAGGCAAAAGGUAGUUCCCUAAAACAAAUGAGAACAGCUGGAAGGGAUCUGUUUACUGAAUCAAGAAAACACUUAAAUCUAUUAACUGAAUGAAGACAACUGAAAAACAAAACAUUCCUGAAGGAUUAAACUCUGCAGAAAGAAGCUGGCAUUUGCCCAGGACAAGGACAGGCAUCCUUUACAAUGCUUAUCUCAGUUAGAACAGCCUUGUAGGUAGACAGGGCAGAAGGAUCUCUGCUGGGUCAGCCUAACAGGAGCAGGAAGGGUCACCUGGUGCAAAAACAGGGGAGGAAAGUUUCUGACCAGCUGAUGUGAAAGCAAAGUUGGCCAGAGGUCACGUGAGGGAAGUCUGCUAGGAUGCCUGUCUCAGUCUGUGUAGUUUUGCUAUGAAGAAAUAUCUGAGGCUGGGUAUUUACUUUUAAAAGAGGUGUAUCUGGCUCAUGGGUCUGCAGACUGUACAAGCAGGGUGUCAGCAUCUGCUUCCAAAGAGGGCUUCAGGCUGCAUCUGCUUACGGUGGAAGGUGAAGGGGAGCCCUGUGCAGAGAUCACAUCAUGAGAGGAGAAGCAAGAAAGAGGACACGAAGGUGCCAAGCUCUUUUUUUUUUUUUUUUUUUUUGAGAUGGAGUCUCGCUCUGACGUCCAGAUUGGAGUGCAAUGGUGUGAUCUCGGCUCACUGCAACCUCCACAUUCCAGGUUCAAGCGAUUCUCCUGCCUCAGUCUCCUGAGUAGCUGUGAUUACAGGUGCACGCCACCACACCCGGCUAAUUUUUUUUAUUUUUUUGUAUUUUUAGUAGAGAUGUGGUUUCGCCAUGUUGGCCAGGCUGGUCUUGAACUCCUGACCUCAAGUGAUCCACUCUUUUUAACAACCAGCUCUCACAAACUAACAGAGUGAGAACUCAUUCUCCCUCACCCUACCCAGGGAGGACAUUCAUCUAUCAUGAAGGAUUCACCCUCAUGACCCAAACACCUCCCAUUAGGCCCCACUUCUUAACACUGGGGAUCAAAUUUCAACAUGAGAUUUGGUGGAGACAAACAUCCCAGCUCUAGCCAUGCCCACCUGCUGAAUGCUUAUUCACUGUGAACAACUGCUGUCUUCUGAAAAAGUUGUGAAAUGCAUUUUGUGAAAAGAAUUCUAUUUUGAAUGCCCGAAUGGAAUUUAAUUUAGAGGAAAUCUGUUGUGAGUUACCUUCAAGAACUGCCAGGUUAGCUGUGUGACCUCAGGCAAGUUAUCUAACUUCUCCAUGCAUCAACUUCCCCAUAGAAAAAGCAGGGAGAAUAGAAUAGCAGUGCCUACUUCAUCAGGCUGUUGUGGGAAUUAAAUGACUUGACACAUCUGAAGGGCUGAUGAUGUGAUGCUUGAGAGACGCGGGAUACAACCCUUGCAGCCCUUGGCAGGCUGACGGUGCAGGCACUUUCCCUCAAGUAUCUGGGCCCUUCCGUGCCCCAGUGCCACCUGCCUCCCCAGAGCAAUUACCAAUCACAUCAACAAGGGCUACCCAGGGUGGUCACUCCCCUGCUCAGCAGUUCUCUGCGUCUGUAGCUACCGUGCCUUCUCAGCACCCCGCACGAUGUGUACCUCCUAGAAGUCACUCAAUGAGCAUUUGAAGUGAACAAACACCUGGCCGGAUGCUAACCUGGAGGGUCAGAUUUUACACACAUGACUAAUAAAGACCGUCCUGCCAA